AUGGCGAAUGCCGCCGAGCACCGCGUACAGAUGCAGGCAGCUCCUCCCUCCGGCAAGGUCGUCCCCGCCGCGCCGGAGAAGAGGCUGAAUCGCUUCGUGCACUCGAUCGCGUCGAUGGAGAGGGUCGGCAACGCUCUGGGCACGCUGGACUUCACAUGGGCGACCGUCGUCGUGCUCAGCGGCUACCCGACAGUGCUCCACGUGCUGGAUUUCUGGUUUGCCACGGCCAUAAUUUUCCUGGAAGGAUUGAGCCCACCCGAGUUCGAGUCCCGGCUCGGACGCGUGGUGCUCACGGAGUUUCUUCUAUAA
Molecule: ribosomal RNA, 309 nt
Filed under: Triticum aestivum (bread wheat)
Lineage: Eukaryota; Viridiplantae; Streptophyta; Magnoliopsida; Poales; Poaceae
Description: partial small subunit ribosomal RNA
Source: RNAcentral